This is a non-coding RNA of Chlorocebus sabaeus (green monkey), 1987 nucleotides long. The record is from RefSeq and is a predicted model, not a curated record. Lineage: Eukaryota; Metazoa; Chordata; Mammalia; Primates; Cercopithecidae.
CCGCGGGUCUGCACAGAGCACGCGCAAACGAAGCACGGCGCAUGCUCCGCAGCGCGGCGGGUCCACAGAUGAGGGGAAUCGAGACUCCCGCGCCCCACCAUCCCCAUCGGAGCUGCUGCUGAGCCCCUGAGCCCUGGCUACCAAUAAAGUUCGUUUAAAAAUCAUAAUCAUUCUUAAGAGAGCGAAAGAGGGUGCGAACUAGCCGCGCGGCCCCGCAGGGAGAACUGGCGCGUCGGGAGGAGGCAGCGGCGGCAGCGGUUGCGCCGCGACCAGGAGGAGCUGGUGGCGCCAGGCGGCGGGUCCGCGGCGGGCGGGGGACGGAAGUUUUUCAGUAUUUUUACAAAUAUAACUGUACUUCUACUUCAAUAAAGGCCGUUGUGAGAAAACAACCUUUUGAUUGAUUUGAGAGAGAAGAUCUGAUCUCCUGGAAUUAGAGUUGGUACAGAAACCAUUUCAGCUCCAAAAAUGUUGGAGGAAGAUAUGGAAGUCGCCAUAAAGAUGGUGGUUGUAGGGAAUGGAGCAGUUGGAAAAUCAAGUAUGAUUCAGCGAUAUUGCAAAGGCAUUUUUACAAAAGACUACAAGAAAACCAUUGGAGUUGAUUUUUUGGAGCGACAAAUUCAAGUUAAUGAUGAAGAUGUCAGACUAAUGUUAUGGGACACUGCAGGUCAAGAGGAAUUUGAUGCAAUUACAAAGGCCUACUAUCGAGGUAAAACACAGGAUUUAUUUACUUAUUUUGUUUGGGCACAUUAUUUUGGCUAAAUAACUAAUUUUGCUUUCUUUGUUUCCCAUAUAAGCGUUUCUCUUGAAGAAUAGUUAAAAUAAUUUCGAAGUAUUUUUUAAAACCCCAGUUCGUUAUUCUUCUAAAGAUCUUGCAUGUUAGCAAAUAACACCUGUACUGUAGACAGUUUAUCUCUGCCUUAGAACUAUGUGACUCAUGUAGGCUUUCCCAGGCCAAAUCAGUAAGAAGCUCUUAAAUGCCUACUUUGACCCCAAGAAAAUGACUGUAUAGUCAGAGAGUGGAAGCUAACAUAUGAGAAAGUAAAGCCCUGGCAAAUAAGAUGGCAUUUGUUAUGACACAUGAAGUCGCAUGGUAAAGCCUUUUCAGUGCUGUAGGAGUUCAGAGAAGUAUGAGACACCUGUGAAAGGAAGGAACCAUGACUAAAGAAUUUAAGGCUCUAAAAUGUGGGCUAAAAUUUUUUAAGAGGCUAAAUUAAACUUCCGAAUGGAACUUAAAAGUUUCCUUUAACAUCUUCUUACAAAAUUUUGCCCUUUUCUUUUGGAAUUUAAAACACCACUUUCAGUGUUCCUGUAACUCAGCUGCCAAUAGUGAUUAAAGUGAGAAAACACAAUAACAAAAGCUUGGUGGAAUACCAUGUAGCAUUAUAGCCUGCUGAUGCCAAGUAAAUAUUAAUUGAUCAUUCAUAUUGACAAGCAUUUAAUACUCUGCAUUUCACAGAUGCUGUGGGAAAUAAAAAGGCACAGCUGACAUACUGAUUAUUCCUUCUAUGACGUCCCUCUUUUCUGAACUUUUCACCAUGUCAUAAUUAAAACUUGUUUCCUAAAGAUACAACUUCCUCUGCUGGCUUCUCUAAGGGAGGCUUUUUACCCAUAUCCCUGUAUACUCACAUUGUUCAAGACUUAAAGGAUGUUGGGCAAAGGAUGUCUUGUUUCUUACGACUGCUUCCAAACCAUUCCUCCUCUUUUCUCCUUCAAAAACUUCAGCACCUUGAAAGUCCAGGUCAUGAGACUUUUACCCACCACUAAUCCCCCUGCUUGCAAUGGUCCAUCACCUUCCUUUAUCCCUCCUUUGUGAUAACACUGGCAUCUGGCUCAGUUUCUUCUCCACAAUUGUUUGGGUUGCUUUUUGAAAAUUCAGCCUAUUGCUCAUUUCCUUGUUGUUUUCAAGGCCAACAAUUGUUUCAUUACCCCAAAAUCUAAACCUCUGUAGUCUCCCACUCUGACCACUACUGCCUAUGCUUGUGGCUUG